This 452-nucleotide long non-coding RNA is filed under the name Elaeis guineensis (African oil palm). RNAcentral's name for it is "long non-coding RNA (EGUI_LNC002438)". Lineage: Eukaryota; Viridiplantae; Streptophyta; Magnoliopsida; Arecales; Arecaceae. The record is from RNAcentral.
UCCACUUGCGUUUUUUUAAAAAAAAUAAAAAUAAAGAAAUUGUCGAUGGUUUGAAACACUAGAGAAAGAGACAGAGCGAGGGGCUCCAAUGGACAAAUUAGCCGUCGAGGCGGCGGAGUCAAAUGUCCUGUGCUUGCCAUGGGAUGAAUUCAUAGAAUGAAACCCAUUCUGCUUCUUCUCUUCUCCCUUUUAACCCACAGCUCAGAGGAAGUGAUUAUCUUCUCGUCCCAUGAAGAAUCCAUCUCCUCUUACAAAUAUCCUGAUCCCUUUUCUCCUCUUCCUUUCCUUGCUCUCUCCCUCGGCAUCAGGAGUAGCGCAAACCUCUCUUUCAAGAGGGUCUUCUCUCUCCGUUGAGGAUGGCGCAGAUAUACUCGUCUCCCCAAGCAAGUCUUUCGCAUGCGGCUGUUAUAACGUCGGCUCUUGUUGCGGCCAAUCCUUUCGUCGCCUGGUCG